AAGUGUGUAGAGUUAGUUGCUGUAUAAAUGGACUCUGUGUCAGAUAUAUUUCUAAAUCACCUGGAUUUACAAACACUACACCUCCCCUGUGUAUCCUUUGUUGCUACCUCUCUAUUUGUGGGAGUGAAACAUCAUCUGAGCCCAGCCACCCAUCUGGGGGUGACUGCACCAUGGUAUCCAGUACAUUGCCCUGGUUCAGCUAGCUGAUCUGCUGUUGAAAACCAGCCUGCUUCUAUUGGCACAAGAGGGUGCCUUCAUACCAUUUACAAAAUUACAGAGGUCCUGUAUGGAACAAAAUGAAGCAGACGAACAUUUGAAUUUGAAGGAUUGCAGCACUUGUCAAAACAACACUGGCGAGACUUACAUCGGGCAAAAUGGCUAUCUUGUGAUCACAUCGAUGUAGCACAUUAUUUAAUUGGCAAUGUCCACAUAUUGAUGGGUUACAGAGCACUGUAGUACUGGCUGCAGUGAUUAAUGGUGAACUGGUGGGUUCCCCAAAAAACAAUUUAAUUCAAAUAAUAUAUGUUCAUGACAAUCACUGGGUUAUGAUAAGAAACAUUUCAUGUUCUAAACGAUCUGUACAACAGCUUGUACAGUGGUCUUGAUUCUAAAGAAAUUUUACAGAUAUCUUGGAUGAAUGUUUGUAAAUGAUAAAUUCAAAAUGAAUGUAAAAGAUGUUCAGAAACAAAAAAAUGCAAGUGAUUGUGGAGCAUACACAAUUGCAUUUGCAGCAAGUCUUGCAUUUGGUAAAAGUCCAACAACACGCACAUAUGAACAAGCACAACUAAGAUCACAUAUUGCAAAAGGUUUCAAAGAACAACAAAUUAGACAUUUUUCAACAAAAACAAGAGAAGCAGCAGCAGACCUAGACAAUGUAAUAUUCCCUGUGUACUGCAUGUGUAGACUCAUUUACUGUGGAGAAUUGAUGGUUUAAUGCUCAUCGUGUUUUAAAUGGGUAUCACCGAGGUUGUCAAAAUAUACCUGAGAUUGCAAUUAAAAAGAAAACAUAAGUAUGGAUUGUAAAACUUGUACAUUGUAGCCGUGUAAAAAACAUCCAUUCAGGUCAAUACAAACAACAAUUACAUUGUCAAUUCACAGUAAAAUGUUUUGAUACUGUAGACUGGUCAGUGUGUGAUACAUCUCCACAAUAAAUAUAUUAUUACA
Bombina bombina (fire-bellied toad) is the source of this 1164-nucleotide long non-coding RNA. RefSeq lists it as uncharacterized. The record is from RefSeq and is a predicted model, not a curated record. The transcript has 2 exons. Lineage: Eukaryota; Metazoa; Chordata; Amphibia; Anura; Bombinatoridae.